AUUACUACUUUUCAUGUUUACACUAACCACUUUUACUCUCAUUUUUAAUAAAGGGUAAAAGACAUUUAUAACCCUUUGAUUAACUUUGACAAAAAAACUUAUUGUUAAAUAAUCUAAACUUAAAACCUCAACUCUAAACCCUAAAUCAUCGACUCUAAACCCUACACCUUGAAACAUCAACUCUAAACCCUACACCCCGAAACAUAACCUCUAAACCUUAUCUUCAAAUCUAAACCCUAAAACAUCAACUCUAGACCCUAAAUCAUCAACUCUAAACCAAAAACCUUGAAACAUCAAUUUUAAACCCUAAACCCCGAAACAUCAAAUCUAAACCCUAAACCUUAAACCUUCAAAUCUAAACCCUAAAACAUCAACUCUAAACCCUACACCCUAUAUUUUUUUCUGAAAUUCGAACCCUAAACCCUAAAACCCUAAACCAUAAACCUUCAAAUCUAAACCUUAAAACAUCAACUCUAAACCCUAACGUAAACCCUAAAACCCUAAACCCUAAACAUCAAAUCUAAACCAUAAAACAUCAACUAUAGGCUUUUAGGGUUUAGG
RNAcentral lists this long non-coding RNA (561 nucleotides) under Brassica napus (rape). RNAcentral's name for it is "long non-coding RNA (BNAP_LNC002839)". Lineage: Eukaryota; Viridiplantae; Streptophyta; Magnoliopsida; Brassicales; Brassicaceae. The record is from RNAcentral.